UCUGCCCGAGAGUGGGGAACAACUCCUCGAAAGAGGAGCUAAUACCGCAUACGGUCUCCUGGUGAAACGGGAAGACGAAAGCUUUGAGCAAUCAAGGCGCUCUUGGAGGAGCCUGCGGCUGAUUAGCUAGUUGGUGGGGUAAAAGCCUACCAAGGCGAUGAUCAGUAGCUGGUCUGAGAGGAUGGACAGCCACACUGGGACUGAGAUACGGCCCAG
Molecule: ribosomal RNA, 216 nt
Filed under: uncultured bacterium
Lineage: Bacteria
Description: partial 16S ribosomal RNA
Rfam family: Bacterial small subunit ribosomal RNA
Source: RNAcentral